ACAGAGGGUGCGAGCGUUAAUCGGAAUUACUGGGCGUAAAGGGUGCGUAGGUGGUUAAAUAAGUAACAUGUUAAAGUCCCGGGCUUAACCUGGGGAGGCCAUGUUAAACUGUUUAGCUAGAGUGUUGUAGAGGAAAGUGGAAUUUCCGGUGUAGCGGUGAAAUGCGUAGAUAUCGGAAGGAACACCAGUGGCGAAGGCGACUUUCUGGACAGAUACUGACACUGAGGCACGAAAGCGUGGGGAGCAAACAGGA
This 253-nucleotide ribosomal RNA is filed under the name uncultured prokaryote. RNAcentral describes it as "partial 16S ribosomal RNA". It matches the Rfam family "Bacterial small subunit ribosomal RNA", at positions 525 to 777 of the family's 1533-position model. The record is from RNAcentral.